UGCCAGAUGAAAUUUCAGAAUAUCCCUAGACGGGAGCUUCAAUUUCCCCUAGAAAUCCCUAAAUCGUAUUAAUGUCACCUAAAAAAGAAGAAAUUGACAGAUGACAGCUGUCAAUUUAAUUUAUAACCUAUUAAACACUAUGUUUAAUCCACUUUAAUCAUUGAUUAGGUAAUGUUUUAAUGUUUACUUAGGAAUAUUUAUGUCAGGGAACAAUAAAUAAUGACAAUAAUAAUAAUAUUUGAACAAAAAGAUAUUUAAUAACAACAAAAAAUGGCGCUAGCACAGUCUAAUAAAUCCCUAGAUUCCAAAAAAAAUCCCUCCAGAGCUCCAAAAGCUUGAAAAAAUCCCUAGAUUCGGGGAAAAUCCCUAGACAUGGUAACCCUGCUUAUGGCAUGUGAUCUAUUUCCCGACUCUGCACCCCCCACUACUGUUUAUUUGUGAACGUAUUUAAAGAAUGGCGGGAAGUUUGAAAAUGGCCAUGACUAACCAGCCAGAGCAAUGAGCAAUCUAACCUUACAUUUUCAUAUAUGAAAGUGUUUUGUUAUUGUUUUUGUAUUAGUGAAUUAUUUUAAUUUUAUCAAAUUUGCGUUUUAUAUUAAUAAAAUGUAUCCUUAGAAUUUGAUAACAAUUUAGUGAUGAUGAAAGAAUAAUAUAUUUUUUAAAUAACGCUUGAGCCUGUACCAUACGAGAACGAAAAAAGUUAUGGAAGAAUUUGAUGAUAUAUAACAAAUUUUUAUUAAGGUUUAUAGUUUCCAUAAAAAUACUGUGAGAUAAUUUAUACAAGAGCUGGUUCCUGGUUUCCAUUAUGUAAUUCUUCAGUAGGUAUGAUGAGCCUAAUAUCACAGAUCAAGUUUUAAUAACUUAUAUUAUGAGUUGUUUUUAUUUAUUGUAUGGUUUUGGUGGUAUACCUAUACAAAACAUAACUACUGAAAGAUUUAUAAAACCCAUGAAGUACUGGCAGAUAAUGUAGUUGUUGAUAUUGAUAGCGAAUGUGUUAACACAGAAGAUAUUCCAUUUAUGAGUACUAAUCUAUGAACAUGCUAUAAAAUACUAUAGAAUUUAACAUUUAUAAUAAAUAUUUAAACCUUU
Molecule: long non-coding RNA, 1089 nt
Organism: Diabrotica virgifera virgifera (western corn rootworm)
Lineage: Eukaryota; Metazoa; Arthropoda; Insecta; Coleoptera; Chrysomelidae
Exons: 2
Source: RefSeq, a predicted model, not a curated record